RNAcentral lists this ribosomal RNA (497 nucleotides) under uncultured bacterium. Its description in RNAcentral is "partial 16S ribosomal RNA". It matches the Rfam family "Bacterial small subunit ribosomal RNA", at positions 28 to 507 of the family's 1533-position model. The record is from RNAcentral.
GAUGAACGCUGGCGGCGUGCCUAAUACAUGCAAGUCGAGCGAACAGACGAGGAGCUUGCUCCUCUGACGUUAGCGGCAGACGGGUGAGUAACACGUGGAUAACCUACCUAUAAGGCUGGGAUAACUUCGGGAAACCGGAGCUAAUACCGGAUAAUAUAUUGAACCGCAUGGUUCAAUAGUGAAAGACGGUUUUGCUGUCACUUAUAGAUGGAUCCGCGCCGCAUUAGCUAGUUGGUAAGGUAACGGCUUACCAAGGCGACGAUGCGUAGCCGACCUGAGAGGGUGAUCGGCCACACUGGAACUGAGACACGGUCCAGACUCCUACGGGAGGCAGCAGUAGGGAAUCUUCCGCAAUGGGCGAAAGCCUGACGGAGCAACGCCGCGUGAGUGAUGAAGGUCUUCGGAUCGUAAAACUCUGUUAUUAGGGAAGAACAAAUGUGUAAGUAACUAUGCACGUCUUGACGGUACCUAAUCAGAAAGCCACGGCUAACUACGUG